Molecule: long non-coding RNA, 229 nt
Filed under: Lathyrus oleraceus (garden pea)
Lineage: Eukaryota; Viridiplantae; Streptophyta; Magnoliopsida; Fabales; Fabaceae
Description: Pisum sativum (pea) long non-coding RNA (PSAT_LNC022608)
Source: RNAcentral
GUGGUUAGCGUUUCCGGCGAUCAAUGGAGAGGAAGUGGAGAUGAAAGGACUAUGAUUGAAGGUGACGGUCUGAUUUACAAUUGAGGGAGUUUUCGUUUCGUGACAAAGUUUUUUUUAUAGAGUGUAGCGGAUGAUGGGCUUCGGUGGUUCGGCGUAGAUGUAACGGUUCUGAAGAGAUGACCGGUGGAUCUGGACGGAAAAUGUAUGACAGUUGUAUGGUUUACCGGCG